RNAcentral lists this ribosomal RNA (364 nucleotides) under Anopheles culicifacies B. RNAcentral's name for it is "partial 28S ribosomal RNA". Lineage: Eukaryota; Metazoa; Arthropoda; Insecta; Diptera; Culicidae. RNAcentral also lists the same sequence under 2 other names. The record is from RNAcentral.
CCUGUUGAACUCAAUGUUCCGGGCGGCGAUAUUCAGCGGUGGUCGACCCGAACGGGCCGGCUGCCGUGCACUUAUCAGACCGCAGUAACGGACAUCGCGAUCCAUUACAAUGGUUACUCCGGCAAUGGCCCCUGGCUCGUGGUGGGCGGCUUUCUAGUAGGGGCGGCACGGCGGCUUCCCUGAGCGAUAGUCUCCGCGACCUUCAUCCGUGAGGGGCGCAGGGCCCGACCGAGUCCGGUGUGCCGCUGGAAUAGUGAUGGAUUGGUAUGAGCGGGGUUCGAGCGUUGUGAUCUGCAGCCGGAGAUCCGAUAAUACACUCGCCCCCGAUCGGUGAUGACGCUUUAUGCAUUGAGGAACCUACGGG